UUAGUAAAGCGGCGAACGGGUGAGUAACACGUGGGUAACCUGCCCUGAAGACCGGGACAACCAUUCGAAAGGAUGGCUAAUACCGGAUAUACUGCGGAAUCGUAUGGUUCCGUAGGAAAUGGUAGCUUCGGCUUCUGCUUCAGGAUGGACCCGCGGCCCAUUAGCUUGUUGGUAGGGUAAUGGCCUACCAAGGCAACGAUGGGUAGCCGGCCUGAGAGGGCGAUCGGCCACACUGGAACUGAGAUACGGUCCAGACUCCUACGGGAGGCAGCAGUGGGGAAUCUUGCGCAAUGGGCGAAAGCCUGACGCAGCAACGCCGCGUGGGGGAAGAAGGCCUUAGGGUUGUAAACCUCUGUCGGGAGGGACGAAGCCACCUGCGUUAAUAGCGUAAGGGGUGACGGUGCCUCUAAAGGAAGCCCCGGCUAACUACGUGCCAGCAGCCGCGGUAAUACGUAGGGGGCAAGCGUUGUCCGGAUUUAUUGGGCGUAAAGAGCGUGUAGGCGGCCUGACAAGUCUGAUGUGAAAUCUUGCGGCUUAACCGCAAGCCUGCAUUGGAAACUGUCAGGCUAGAGUCUGGAUGAGGAAGAUGGAAUUCCUGGUGUAGCGGUGAAAUGCGCAGAUAUCAGGAGGAACACCGGUGGCGAAGGCGGUCUUCUAGGACAGUACUGACGCUGAGACGCGAAAGCGUGGGGAGCAAACAGGAUUA
RNAcentral lists this ribosomal RNA (706 nucleotides) under uncultured bacterium. RNAcentral's name for it is "bacterial SSU rRNA". It matches the Rfam family "Bacterial small subunit ribosomal RNA", at positions 87 to 780 of the family's 1533-position model. The record is from RNAcentral.